Long non-coding RNA from Phragmites australis (common reed), 3822 nucleotides. RefSeq lists it as uncharacterized. NCBI's taxonomy places the organism in Eukaryota, Viridiplantae, Streptophyta, Magnoliopsida, Poales, Poaceae. The transcript is spliced from 5 exons. The record is from RefSeq and is a predicted model, not a curated record.
ACAGGAAUGCAGAGGUGCAACCGGUUUGACAGAAUACGUUGCUACUUAAACCUGUGUUUCACCUUGUAAAGUCCCCAGUUAGAACUGAUAGAAGCCAGCGCUCUUGGGUUCAUCGAAAAUACAGGUACACAUGCAUUUUCUCUCAAGCAGUACACAAUAAUCACUAGAAUCAUCCCUCAUGAUUUUCUAAAUCCGUUUAUUCAGUAAAGAGAUAUUUAUGACUAUCAUUUAUAAUCUCUAGAGCUCCAUUUUUUUAAGGCCUAUGAUAUUCAAAUUUGUUAGAACAUGUUCAGCCAACUCGGUAUCCCACUCCCCAUCGCUAGAUAUAGCGAUUCAGAAAAGAAAUAAAAACCUCGCUACUCCCCUCGCCAUUUUCUUGGCUCGCCAUCCCAUCGCUACCACCCCACCUACCCUCCCAUCGCGGCGUAUACAGAUUCACCGCUCCUCACGAGAAGCUCACCACAUCGCCGCAAAGAAAUCCUCCCGAAUCGUCGCCAUGGCAGCCGCCACACCGGCAUGCUCCGUGAAGGAAGUACUCCCAUCUCCCCUUACCUCCGCCUCCGAGCCCCCUCCCCUUUUCGACGGCACGACCAGGUUGUACGUUGCUUACCACUGGAGCACAACAACCAACCUUGGAUUUGGUUAAGUACAUGAAUAACAAUUUCAAAGGCCCAUCAUUUCUUCCUGAUGAUUCUGCAAAGAAGCAGUUUGCUGAGGAGUUGCUUGCAUAUACCGAUGAGUUUAACAAAGCAAUAUACUCAUCCGUAGUCUCCAAGGAAGAUGUAUCCAAUGAAACUGGUCAGAGCACUCGACUGCAUGUUUUACGUAUUUGAAGAGGUUGUAAUUUGUAUCAUGUGCUACGGGACUCCGCCCCCGCAGCAGCACGCGACUCCGCCGCCGCGGCCUGAUCCUACGGCAGGACCAGGGGAGAUGAUGGUGUUGUGCCAGGAGGGGUGGGUGAAGGAUGCGGUGGAGCUGCUCGCCAAGGGAGCGUGCGCCGACCCGCCUGCCUUCUACGAGCUCGUCGCUGUCUGCUCAAACCCUAUGGUACUAGAUGAGGCGAGAAGGUGCACGACUUCUUCCUCCGCUGUCCCUUCCGCAGCGACCUCAAGGUCAACAACAAGCUGCUCGAGAUAUACGACAAGUGAGCUGCCAUGCCCCAUGCCAUGCCCGCAGGAUGUUCGGUAAUACUGCUGAAUGGAACAUGGACUCAUGGCACAUCAUGAUCGACGGCUACACCGUGAACGGGCUUCGAGAUGAGGCACUGCGGCUGUUUGAACUGAUGAAGGAGUGCAUGGAACCACAAUUCGUGCUCGUGCUCAAUGUUUGUUGGCGUAAUGGCGUUCCUUUACUUUGAAGCCCUGUCCAGGAACCAUGGCAUUGAGCCUGGUGUGGAGCACUAUGUUGGCUAUGAACAUCGUUAUUUUCUCUCAUUUCAUCAGUACUCCAUGGUGAUAUCAGCAGCUGUUCAUUUGGAAUAUGGUUGUUCCUUUACUAUCUGUGUCUGCUAUGCGAUUAAAUACCUAUUUUUUCCCAAGAAUUAUGUUAGGUCUCUAAUGAUAGGUUACUGAUGUUUUUAGGCAUCACAAUUAUUGCCUGAGUAUUUGCAUGUCUUGGAGAAUUUUUCUAGCCUAUUUCCAUACAAGAAAUGGGACGAUGGAUUGAGUUAAUUAUCUUUUGCUUUGCUCACAUCUUAUAACUAGGCUUCCUAUUGCUGGGAUUUUUUUAUCUCCUUAAUUCUAGAAAGCACUUCCAUUGAACGUAUAAACUUUUAUUGUUUGAUUUUUUACCAUACCUAUAUCCGUAUUAACAAUUAGAACAUCCUCAACCAUAUUCACUUCAUUUCGUUCCCUUCCUGAUUCCCCUCCUUGUUCCCAUUUCCUUUAUUUUCUCUCAUCUCUAAUAGUUUCCAUCGAAUGGAUUUGUGAAAGGAAAAGAGAGAUAAUCCCGUCUUGAAGGGAACAUCCUUGGGAAUCCUUUCAUUACAGGAAUCGUGAAGGGAAACUGUUGGAGUACUGAAGGGAACGAAAAUUUCUUCGCGAAGGGAUUCUUGUCCGCGAAGGGAAUCCCUUGGAGAUGCUCAGCACUUCAAUAAUAUUGAGUCCAAGGGCCCAGAUCUGGCAGACAAGAAUAACUCACCCCAAAGUAGCAAUGAAACUUUAGUUGAUGAAGAGGCCGUUCAAGUGCAGAAGUCAUUCAUGAUGGUUCUGCAGCUGAAGAAGAGUGACAGAACAUCAUCACCUGAGGUCAGCAAUACUGAAUCAACUAAUGAAGCCAUGGCGAAUGCGAGAUUUUAGGUAUUGUUACCGCCGUUUUGGUAUGGAUUUUGUUCGCAAAACAUAGCUGCCUGUAGAUGUGAUUUUAUAUACAUUACCGGUCAAAUGUUCCUAAUCUAGGCAAUAUUUUCAUUAGAUCCUUUUAUUAUCACCUGUUUUUUAUUAGAUCUAUUAACAAACAUGUUCUUUUCUGUAAGGUAGCUGUUGCCCUUCGAACAGAUCUAGGUAAAGUAUAUCCAUUUUGGAAAAGAAACUAUAGAGAUAUAUUCUUUUUCAUCCUACAUUUAAUCCAAGUAUAAACACAAUAAAAUAACUAUUCCUUUUUAUGAUACCUUACUUGACCAGCACACCUUCCCUCUUACACUUCUUCAAUUACUAAAAUGUAGCCUUACUCAUACAAGUGAAAGGCUUUACACUGUAGCCAUCAGACUUUCAUUAGAGCUCCAGUAACAAAAACAUAUGCCACUGUAGUUCAUUAAUUUUUAUUUCAACUUGCCGGUCUACAAAAUUGACUAUUAUAUAUCUCUUUUUCACGUUCAUGGAUCUACGAAUCAAAGCUAAGAUGCGGGUGUUGGUUAGCAUUUUCUAUUUCAUUUUGUAGCAAGCAUCAGGAAAUAGUCAAUAUUAACCAGCUCAAGCAAUUUACUUACACAAACUCUGAAGUCUGAACGUCAAAAAGCGAUCCAUAAGGGUCAACUGACUAUUGACAGCAAAAUCUUUUCUUUCAAUCUUUUUUCUCUACUGUUUGAGUUCAUACCAAAAGCACUUCCAUUGCUCAAUUCCAUUUAUAUUAACCGCUAAUACUAUCAAUAUUUGUCUUGGUGUCAAAUUUAGCUUCUGCUAAUGGAUUCUUCUUUACCAACAUAUAUCAUAUUUAUAUCUUUGUUCAUGUGCAUACAAGUUAUAUAAACUAUGUUAAAAAAUGCAAUCUAAUAUUAAUUUCCUACGUAUGUACAGCUCUGCUUACAGACUCGUUGAUAAGGUGCCCUGUAAUUAUUUUUGCCCUGUUGAGAUGCCAUCACUACAUCAGAAUACCAUGCAACUGCUUUUCUUUUGGCAUUUCAGAUUACAGGAGGCAAUUCUAUUAAUUCCAUUAGAAUACCAUGUAACUGCUUUUCUUUUGGUAUUUCAGAUUACAUGAGGCAAUUCUGUUAAUUCCUCCUGGUAUAACAGUUCUAAUGGACAUGCUUAUGGAUCAUGAGCUGUUAACAUUAACUCCCCCUGCCUUUUGUCUUACUUUCUCUGAGGAAGAAAAUUUGCUGUCCAUGAAAUUUUGUAUCUAUCUAUGUUGGGACAGCCUAAUGUCGGUGGGCGCAUGUAUACUGAUUUGUUUGAAAUCAUUUGUGCACUCACAAAAAGAGGAAUUAUAUUUGUUAGCUCGAAUGACUUCCUAAAUGUGUACUCAGUUACUCACACGUUACAUUAAUCCUGAACAGUACUGUUACAGUAUUACUCCAUGGGUACCUAAUUAAAUCAUAGACUCCAGUAUGGGUUAUGAUUCAAAAUAUAUUGCAUAAUAAUAGUAAUUGAAAUUGACUAACAAAUU